RNAcentral lists this unclassified non-coding RNA (403 nucleotides) under soil metagenome. RNAcentral's name for it is "partial contains 5.8S ribosomal RNA, internal transcribed spacer 2, and large subunit ribosomal RNA". The stretch from base 2 to 120 matches the Rfam family "5.8S ribosomal RNA", at positions 37 to 154 of the family's 154-position model. The record is from RNAcentral.
GUGAAGAACGUAGCGAAAUGCGAUAAGUAAUGUGAAUUGCAGAAUUCAGUGAAUCAUCGAAUCUUUGAACGCACCUUGCGCCCUUUGGCUAUUCCGAAGGGCAUGCCUGUUUGAGUAUCAUGAACACCUCAACUCUCAUGGUUUGCCAUGAUGAGCUUGGACUUUGGGGGUCUUGCCGGCCUAUGGGUCGGCUCCUCUCAAAUUAAUCAGCUUGCCAGUGUUUGGUGGCAUCACAGGUGUGAUAACUAUCUACGCUUGUGGUUUUCCAUCAGGUAACCUUCAGUGAUGGAGGUUCGCUGGGGCUCAUAAAUGUCUCUCCUCAGUGAGGACAGCUUUUUUGAACGUUUGAUCUCAAAUCAGGUAGGACUACCCGCUGAACUUAAGCAUAUCAAUAAGCGGAGGA